RNAcentral lists this long non-coding RNA (323 nucleotides) under Musa acuminata (dwarf banana). RNAcentral's name for it is "long non-coding RNA (MACU_LNC008829)". The record is from RNAcentral. Lineage: Eukaryota; Viridiplantae; Streptophyta; Magnoliopsida; Zingiberales; Musaceae.
AGCAGUAAGAAUAUUUGCAGUAAUGUAAAUGACAAUAAUAAAAAGCAAACCAGAGAUUACGCCGAUUUUUAGAGUGGUUCGGUCAAAUGACCUACUCCACUUGCAAGGCCCCUCUUCGAUGAGGCUCCCACCUUCCAUUAGCAAGUCUCUUGAAAUGGAAGGGUAAACACCCCUCUUACAACCUUUUACAAGCAGCUCAACCUCUUACAAAUUUUCAAUAAGAAAGGAGGAGGAGAACUCUCUAGCAAAUUAAAAACAAGACUUGCUAAGACUUUCUAAGACUUUUCUCUCAAUCAAAAAUGCUUCUCAAAAGUUGUAACCUC